RNAcentral lists this ribosomal RNA (275 nucleotides) under uncultured bacterium. RNAcentral's name for it is "partial 16S ribosomal RNA". It matches the Rfam family "Bacterial small subunit ribosomal RNA", at positions 29 to 329 of the family's 1533-position model. The record is from RNAcentral.
AACGAACGCUGGCGGCAGGCCUAACACAUGCAAGUCGAACGCCGUAGCAAUACGGAGUGGCAGACGGGUGAGUAACACGUGGGAACAUACCCUUCGGUUCGGAAUAAACUCAGGGAAACGUUGAGCUAAUACCGGAUACGUCCGCGAGGAGAAAGAUUCAUCGCCGGAGGAUUGGCCCGCGUCUGAUUAGCUUGUUGGUGAGGUAACGGCUCACCAAGGCGACGAUCAGUAGCUGGUCUGAGAGGAUGAUCAGCCACAUUGGGACUGAGACACGG